AUUUAAUAUUUAGAAACAGCCCAAAGAAAGGGUGACUGUGCUGGUAAGGUGGGGAGGACCAAAGACAAAGACACCCAUUGUCAUGAUCAGUACUCAGACCAGACUGCAUCACCACAGUGGCCAAUGUAGAGUGGAGGAAACUCAGAAGUAUUAAACUACUCUCCAUGACUAUGUGGUUAGUAAACAGAGGACUCGGGACUAGAACUCAUCUGUAACUCCUAGGUCAGCCCUUUUCCCACUGCACAGUGCUGCCUCUUCAGUCAAAUUCUUGAGUGUAACUUAAAUGCAGUCUAAAGAAAUUAAAAAUGACCCACUUGAAAGAGAAAAAGAUAAUUUUCAAUUUCCCAAGUCACAGCUGGCAUUGUGCAUGCAAACAAGUCCAGGGAACAGAAUCCGCUAACUUCUGAUAAGGAACUCCUGAAAGGAUGGAAUCAUUCUAAGGCCUAGCAUUAAUGGUGAGAAAAUGGUCUUUCCAAGGGGGCCAAUUAGAGGUUUGGUAGCCUGAAAUAUUUUGCAGAAUGUCAUAGCUCAAGGAAGCUGAGGAAAGGUAGUUAUGCCUGCCUUGAAGAAUCGUGCAAAGUAGGUUAGCAGCGUUGCUUCCAUUUUUGUGAAAGAGAAUGCCUUUCUAAUUUUAGAUUCUUUCAAGAAGUGGGUAGGCUUUUGUGUGAGAGGAAGUUGUUCUCAGUGCUCAUUUCGGGAGGUGCCUGUGAAAUCAUUUUAUAUCCUGUUUGGAAAAGGAAGACAAUGUGGUGGAAAUGUAAAGUGAGUUUGCGUAAAAAGUUAUCUUCCCCAGAGGAGACGGCAGAAAUAAGGAUCCACAGCCAUACUCAUUACUUUUUUCCCAAAGUUAUAGAGAUGUGUGUUAUCAGUUCAAUGCAGGUAUUGGGCUCCUUUAACUGUAAUGUGUCUCCUGAUGUUAUACAGUAGGAACUAUUUAUUUAGCAGAUUAUUCAACACGGGACAAAAGACUUU
Non-coding RNA from Ceratotherium simum simum (southern white rhinoceros), 972 nucleotides. NCBI's taxonomy places the organism in Eukaryota, Metazoa, Chordata, Mammalia, Perissodactyla, Rhinocerotidae. The record is from RefSeq and is a predicted model, not a curated record.